AACGCGAAGAACCUUACCUACCCUUGACAUCCUUGGAAUCUUCUAGAGAUAGAAGAGUGCCUUCGGGAACCAAGUGACAGGUGCUGCAUGGCUGUCGUCAGCUCGUGUCGUGAGAUGUUGGGUUAAGUCCCGUAACGAGCGCAACCCUUAUCCUUAGUUGCCAGCACGUAAAGGUGGGAACUCUAAGGAGACUGCCAGUGAUAAACUGGAGGAAGGCGAGGACGAUGUCAAGUCAUCAUGGCCCUUACGGGUAGGGCUACACACGUGCUACAAUGGGCAGUACAAAGGGUGGCAAUACCGCGAGGUGGAGCGAAUCCCAUAAAGCUGCUCUCAGUCCAGAUUGGAGUCUGCAACUCGACUCCAUGAAGUCGGAAUCGCUAGUAAUCGUGGAUCAGAAUGCCGCGGUGAAUACGUUCCCGGGCCUUGUACACACCGACUGUAC
RNAcentral lists this ribosomal RNA (442 nucleotides) under uncultured bacterium. RNAcentral's name for it is "bacterial SSU rRNA". It matches the Rfam family "Bacterial small subunit ribosomal RNA", at positions 958 to 1399 of the family's 1533-position model. The record is from RNAcentral.